Molecule: non-coding RNA, 455 nt
Organism: Lolium perenne
Lineage: Eukaryota; Viridiplantae; Streptophyta; Magnoliopsida; Poales; Poaceae
Source: RefSeq, a predicted model, not a curated record
UUUGGGGACUGUUCCCGACCAGGUGAAAAGGGGUAAAAGGACAACUUUACCCUUCCUAGAUUUUGAAUCGGUACGCCCAGAUCGCUGCCGUCCUCGAUCGCCCAUCCUCGAUCGCCCUCCUCCUCCGCCUGGGUAGAUCCUCCUCCGCCUGGGCAGGUCCUCCAGCCCUCCACCCCUCCGGCCUGGGCUCGCCCUCCUCCUCCGCCCUUGCCCUCGCCCUCGCCCUCGCCCUCCACCCUCCACCCCUCCGGCCUGGGCAGAUCCUCGCCAAGGUGCUACCGGAGGACGAUCUCCUCAGGCCCAGGCAGGUCCUCGCCCAGGACCAUCCUGGAGGACGAUCACCUCCGGCCCAGGCAGCUCCUCACCUAGGUGUGCUUCGCCUCCUCCUUGACGACAACCUCCUCGCUAGGUGCUCCUCGCCUCUUUGUCGAAGACCGGCUCCCAGGUUCUUACUC